RNAcentral lists this unclassified non-coding RNA (331 nucleotides) under soil metagenome. RNAcentral's name for it is "partial contains 5.8S ribosomal RNA, internal transcribed spacer 2, and large subunit ribosomal RNA". The stretch from base 1 to 119 matches the Rfam family "5.8S ribosomal RNA", at positions 35 to 154 of the family's 154-position model. The record is from RNAcentral.
GAUGAAGAACGAGCAAAAUGCGAUAAGUAAUGUGAAUUGCAGAAUUCAGUGAAUCAUCGAAUCUUUGAACGCACAUUGCGCCCGCCAGUAUUCUGGCGGGCAUGCCUGUUCGAGCGUCAUUUCAACCCUCAAGCACAGCUUGGUGUUGGGACUCGCGUUAAUUCGCGUUCCCCAAAUUGAUUGGCGGUCACGUCGAGCUUCCAUAGCGUAGUAGUAAAACCCUCGUUACUGGUAAUCGUCGCGGCCACGCCGUUAAACCCCAACUUCUGAAUGUUGACCUCGGAUCAGGUAGGAAUACCCGCUGAACUUAAGCAUAUCAAUAAGCGGAGGA